Molecule: ribosomal RNA, 240 nt
Filed under: uncultured bacterium
Lineage: Bacteria
Description: partial 16S ribosomal RNA
Rfam family: Bacterial small subunit ribosomal RNA
Source: RNAcentral
AGUGGCGGACGGGUGAGUAACGCGUGGGUAACCUGCCUUGUACUGGGGGACAACAGUUAGAAAUGACUGCUAAUACCGCAUAAGCGCACAGUACCGCAUGAUACGGUGUGAAAAACUCCGGUGGUACAAGAUGGACCCGCGUCUGAUUAGCUAGUUGGUAAGGUAACGGCUUACCAAGGCGACGAUCAGUAGCCGACCUGAGAGGGUGACCGGCCACAUUGGGACUGAGACACGGCCCAA